This 2474-nucleotide small RNA is filed under the name Pan troglodytes (chimpanzee). Its description in RNAcentral is "retained intron". Lineage: Eukaryota; Metazoa; Chordata; Mammalia; Primates; Hominidae. The record is from RNAcentral.
AGGAUCAAGGGAAUCGUGGCUGCCUGCCCCACUGAGCCCACUGCCCCAACCCCCUCUCCUUCUUGUGCCAGAUCCCUUGGGAUUGGAGCCGCUGUGAGCAGUGGCUAGGCAUUUGAGCACCUCUGUCUCUGCCUUGCUCCAUAGCAGCUGCUGUGCUGAACACCGCUCUUCCGGCACCGGUACAAGCUGCCGCACCAGUACAGGCCUCCUCGACGGCCCAACCCCGGCCACCAGCCCAGCCCCAGACGCUGUUCCAGACCCAGCCGCUGCUGCAGACCACACCUGCCAUCCUCCCGCAGCCCACUGCUGCCACCGCUGCUGCCCCUACCCCCAAGCCAGUGGACACCCCCCCACAGAUCACCGUCCAGCCUGCAGGCUUCGCAUUUAGCCCAGGAAUCAUCAGUGCUGCUUCCCUCGGGGGACAGACCCAGAUCCUGGGGUCCCUCACUACAGCUCCAGUCAUUACCAGCGCCAUUCCCAGCAUGCCAGGGAUCAGCAGUCAGAUCCUCACCAAUGCUCAGGGACAGGUUAUUGGAACCCUUCCAUGGGUAGUGAACUCAGCUAGUGUGGCGGCCCCAGCACCAGCCCAAAGCCUGCAGGUCCAGGCCGUGACCCCCCAGCUGUUGUUGAACGCCCAGGGCCAGGUGAUUGCGACCCUGGCUAGCAGCCCCCUGCCUCCACCUGUGGCUGUCCGGAAGCCAAGCACACCUGAGUCCCCUGCUAAGAGUGAGGUGCAGCCCAUCCAGCCCACACCAACCGUGCCCCAGCCUGCUGUGGUCAUUGCCAGCCCAGCUCCAGCAGCCAAGCCAUCUGCCUCUGCUCCUAUCCCAAUUACCUGCUCAGAGACCCCCACCGUCAGCCAGUUGGUGUCCAAGCCACAUACUCCAAGUCUGGAUGAGGAUGGGAUCAACUUAGAAGAGAUCCGGGAGUUUGCCAAGAACUUUAAGAUCCGGCGGCUCUCGCUGGGCCUUACACAGACCCAGGUGGGUCAGGCUCUGACUGCAACGGAAGGUCCAGCCUACAGCCAGUCAGCCAUCUGCCGGUUCGAGAAGCUAGACAUCACACCCAAGAGUGCCCAGAAGCUAAAGCCGGUGCUGGAAAAGUGGCUAAACGAAGCUGAACUGCGGAACCAGGAAGGCCAGCAGAACCUGAUGGAGUUUGUGGGAGGCGAGCCCUCCAAGAAACGCAAACGCCGCACCUCCUUCACCCCCCAGGCCAUAGAGGCUCUCAAUGCCUAUUUUGAGAAGAACCCACUGCCCACAGGCCAGGAGAUCACUGAAAUUGCUAAGGAGCUCAACUACGACCGUGAGGUAGUGCGGGUCUGGUUCUGCAAUCGGCGCCAGACGCUCAAGAACACCAGCAAGCUGAACGUCUUUCAGAUCCCUUAGGGCUCAGCCCCUGGCCCUGUGUUCUAGCACUUUGUCCAUUUCCCGUGGCAUCCAGCUGCAGCCACUGCCAUGACAGCACCUGUCAUUUUGCCACGUGCAGCUGUGCUCACCCCAGGUCAUCAGACUCCACCGUGUGCAUGUGCAUCAAUGUCCCUCUUUUCUCCCACACAUCUCACAUCAUGGGGAGGCCAGAGGGGGCCACACGAGAGCUCCAGGCUCUGGGCUGGUCACUCCGAAGAAGAGGAUUUGUGACGUCACUUAGAGAAGCACCUUGCUAGCAUGGUUUCUGAAGGGUGAAUUCUGGUGAGGAACCAGAAACUCCCUGUCUUUGGGGCAGGGCUAAAGCAGCUCCUAAGGACCACUGGCCAUUAGCUCUUGCUUUUGAUGGCAUUCUCUUUCCACCUUCUCUUCUCCUUUGCUCCUCUGUGUUAGUGUGGCAGGUAUGACAACUCAUCCAGUGGAAACACAGCCUCACACUGCCCUUCCGCCCCCCACACUUUGCUUGCAGGUGCACCGAAAGGACCCGGGAGAUAAAAUUCAAAAAAGUGUGAUGUGCUGCUCAGAAGGUCAGACUCCAUGUCUGCCUUGACCUCAAGAUCAGAAGGUUCCCAAACCCCUGGGGCUGGAACAUGGGAUCUCCUCUUCCACCUCUUCCUGGUUCCUUUGCGGGGAAAAUUGCACUAAAACAGAACCUUUUCUUAAUCCAUGUUGGAAGGAAGCAACAGUGAACUCUACCUGUUCUGGAGUUGUCCUGGGUCUGCAGAAGGUUGGGAAUUUAGAAAAUAAGGCUGUUCUUUCAUAUUUUAAUUUAAUCUCUGUCAAUGGCCAUCCCUCCCACAAAAAAACGUGGGUUAAGAGAACUUGCAGACUGGAUAUGCAAGCAAACGGGCAACUCUGGAGAAAAAUAAGGAAAGGAAUGCUGACUUUCUCUUUCUUUCUCUUGUCCCCACACCCAUUCCCAACCCAAUACUGGGGCCUUCUCAAAAGGAGCAAAUUAAACAAUAAACCAGACAGCAAUGCCCUGGGGGAAAGGACAACAUCCUGAAAUAAAUGAUGGAGCCCAGGAAGGUCUCUUGUGGAAGUUGA